GCGGGGCGCCGGGUCGUCAAGGCGACGGUGGCGCGUUGCGGGGUCGGUGGGAGACGCCGCGCGCGCGGAGGACUGCGGACCUGUCCGGACCCUUCGCAGCGGUCGUGUCCUGCGCCAUGGGCAGCAAGAAGAAGGAGAUCGCGCUGCAGGUCAACAUCAGCACCCAGGAGCUUUGGGAAGAAAUGCUCAGUUCCAAAGGACUAACUGUUGUUGACGUCUACCAAGGCUGGUGUGGGCCCUGCAAGCCUGUGGUGAGCCUCUUCCAGAAGAUGAGGAUGGAGCUUGGCCUGGACCUCCUACAUUUCGCAUUAGCAGAAGCGGAUUGUCUGGAUGUCCUUGAAAGAUACCGGGGGAAGUGUGAGCCCACCUUUCUGUUCUACGCAGGAGGACAGCUGGUGGCAGUGGUUAGGGGAGCAAAUGCUCCCCUGCUGCAGAAGACCAUCCUUGACCAACUGGAGGCUGAAAAGAAGGUGCUGGCUGAAGGCAGGCAGCGGAAGGUGAUUAAAGACCAGGCUCUUUCUGAUGAAGAGGAAUGCUUUUCUCAUGAAAAAGAUGGUGGUGAACAUGAGGACAUGGUGUCAUCAAAGACCUGUACCCUGGCCAUCAUUAAACCAGAUGCAGUGGUCCAUGGAAAGACUGAUGAGAUUAUUGUGAAGAUCCAGGAAGCUGGGUUUGACAUUCUCACCCACGAAGAGAGAAGUCUGCCAGAAGCAGAUGUGCGACUUUUGUACCAACACAGAGCUGGAGAGGAGGUCUUUGGAAAGCUGGUACGUCACAUGUGCAGCGGGCCGAGCCAUCUCCUGAUCCUCACCAGAGCAGAGGACACCAAGGACGUGGUUACUGCCUGGCGGGACCUCAUGGGACCCUGUGACCCCAGUGUGGCCAGGGGGGAGCAGCCCGAAAGCCUCCGGGCCCAGUACGGCACAGAAAUGCCCUUCAAUGCAGUCCACGGGAGCCGAGACACAGAAGAUGCCAACCGAGAGCUGGCAUUGCUUUUCCCCAGUUUCAAGUUUUCGGACGAACAUACUGAAGCCUUUCAGGAUGAGCCGUGAAGAUAAAAGGAGGCAGGAUGCAAAGUCAACCUGGUGGCGUGUGUGCUCGACAAAUGCUUUCCUUUCUCCUGAGUCCUGGUCCCUAACACACACAUACGCUGAGGCCGGAGGAGCAUCCCUGAGGAUGUGAACUGAGAUGCUGUACUGUUCUCCUGAGCACGUCACCCCGGGCAAGGCCGUGACGUGAACCGUCUGCGCGCUCGCGUCUGCAUGGAAGGAACCGCACAGUAGAACUUCGUGUGCACCAGUGCCUUCUUGGCUUAGCGGUCUUUGUGGACAAUGAAAAGAAUAGUACUUUCUUGCCAUAUUAAACAGUAUACAGAACAUA
Chinchilla lanigera (long-tailed chinchilla) is the source of this 1380-nucleotide RNA transcript. It is a transcript of the gene named NME/NM23 family member 9, with no coding region annotated. The record is from RefSeq and is a predicted model, not a curated record. The transcript has 13 exons. NCBI's taxonomy places the organism in Eukaryota, Metazoa, Chordata, Mammalia, Rodentia, Chinchillidae.